AUUGAACGCUGGCGGCAGGCCUAACACAUGCAAGUCGAGCGGAUGAAGGGAGCUUGCUCCUGGAUUCAGCGGCGGACGGGUGAGUAAUGCCUAGGAAUCUGCCUGGUAGUGGGGGAUAACGUCCGGAAACGGGCGCUAAUACCGCAUACGUCCUGAGGGAGAAAGUGGGGGAUCUUCGGACCUCACGCUAUCAGAUGAGCCUAGGUCGGAUUAGCUAGUUGGUGGGGUAAGGGCCUACCAAGGCGACGAUCCGUAACUGGUCUGAGAGGAUGAUCAGUCACCCUGGAACUUAGACACGGUCCAGACUCCUACGGGAGGCAGCAGUGGGGAAUAUUGGACAAUGGGCGAAAGCCUGAUCCAGCCAUGCCGCGUGUGUGAAGAAGGUCUUCGGAUUGUAAAGCACUUUAUGUUGUGAUAAAGCGCAGUAAGUUAAUACCUUGCUGUUUUGACGUUACCAACAGAAUAAGCACCGGCUAACUUCGUG
This 484-nucleotide ribosomal RNA is filed under the name uncultured bacterium. RNAcentral's name for it is "partial 16S ribosomal RNA". It matches the Rfam family "Bacterial small subunit ribosomal RNA", at positions 30 to 507 of the family's 1533-position model. The record is from RNAcentral.